Molecule: long non-coding RNA, 764 nt
Filed under: Capsicum annuum
Lineage: Eukaryota; Viridiplantae; Streptophyta; Magnoliopsida; Solanales; Solanaceae
Description: long non-coding RNA (CANN_LNC002917)
Source: RNAcentral
CUGAAAUUCUCGUAUUUCUUUUCGCAUACUAGUUUUAUCAAGAGACAUGAAUAAUAGUAUUUUUAAUCUGUUAAUUUCAGAAAUAUUUGAAGUACUUUUUAAUCGAUAGAUUUUUUCAUAAUAGUAUCUUAAUUUUUUUAUAUCUCUGUUAAGAGCUUCUAUGCUUGUUUUGAUUUCCCAAAAUUUUUUUUUAAGAUUCUUUAAUGGUGAUUGUACCACUCUCAUGAUGAUAAAGAUAGAUAAUUAUGAUUUUAAUAUUCCCUAUAGGUACUUAGUAACUAUAAUAUGUAUGAGUGCAUAAGGUAGGUAUGAAGAUAAAUUUUUCUUAUAUUAAUAUGUUCAUGAAAUGAUAGAGUUUAUAUGUACACCUUUUAACUUUCUUUUAUAUUGAUUGUAUCAACACCGCAGUGUUUCUUCUUCCGGCUAUAAAGAUCUAUUUAGCCUAUUGCAACUCACUGUCUCAGGCUAUUGUGUUGGUCUUCCUCUGUUGAGGCUGAAGAUCGAAAUCUUGAUUUAUCACCAACAUAUAGAAAUGACAAAAGAUAUAGAAAAAAAACUUUUUAUUUCAUGAAUAUAUUACAACAUAGGAAAGAUCUUUAAUCAGAUCUUCCUUAUACUCGCACAUAAACUAUUUGUUACUUUUUCCUAACGAGAGAAGUUUUUCUUACUCACACAUAUAGAAGAUACCUAGCAUUUUCUAUGAAAGAAAUAUUAGAGAAAUGUAGUCUACCUUCUAUGAAUUUCUAUCUCUCCUUUUAUAGACA